RNAcentral lists this ribosomal RNA (1369 nucleotides) under Salmonella enterica subsp. enterica serovar Give. Its description in RNAcentral is "partial 23S ribosomal RNA". It matches the Rfam family "Bacterial large subunit ribosomal RNA", at positions 1589 to 2925 of the family's 2925-position model. Lineage: Bacteria; Pseudomonadati; Pseudomonadota; Gammaproteobacteria; Enterobacterales; Enterobacteriaceae. The record is from RNAcentral. RNAcentral also lists the same sequence under 1 other name.
AGCAACAAAUGCCCUGCUUCCAGGAAAAGCCUCUAAGCAUCAGGUAACAUCAAAUCGUACCCCAAACCGACACAGGUGGUCAGGUAGAGAAUACCAAGGCGCUUGAGAGAACUCGGGUGAAGGAACUAGGCAAAAUGGUGCCGUAACUUCGGGAGAAGGCACGCUGACACGUAGGUGAAGUGAUUUACUCAUGGAGCUGAAGUCAGUCGAAGAUACCAGCUGGCUGCAACUGUUUAUUAAAAACACAGCACUGUGCAAACACGAAAGUGGACGUAUACGGUGUGACGCCUGCCCGGUGCCGGAAGGUUAAUUGAUGGGGUCAGCGCAAGCGAAGCUCCUGAUCGAAGCCCCGGUAAACGGCGGCCGUAACUAUAACGGUCCUAAGGUAGCGAAAUUCCUUGUCGGGUAAGUUCCGACCUGCACGAAUGGCGUAAUGAUGGCCAGGCUGUCUCCACCCGAGACUCAGUGAAAUUGAACUCGCUGUGAAGAUGCAGUGUACCCGCGGCAAGACGGAAAGACCCCGUGAACCUUUACUAUAGCUUGACACUGAACAUUGAGCCUUGAUGUGUAGGAUAGGUGGGAGGCUUUGAAGUGUGGACGCCAGUCUGCAUGGAGCCGACCUUGAAAUACCACCCUUUAAUGUUUGAUGUUCUAACGUGGACCCGUGAUCCGGGUUGCGGACAGUGUCUGGUGGGUAGUUUGACUGGGGCGGUCUCCUCCUAAAGAGUAACGGAGGAGCACGAAGGUUGGCUAAUCCUGGUCGGACAUCAGGAGGUUAGUGCAAUGGCAUAAGCCAGCUUGACUGCGAGCGUGACGGCGCGAGCAGGUGCGAAAGCAGGUCAUAGUGAUCCGGUGGUUCUGAAUGGAAGGGCCAUCGCUCAACGGAUAAAAGGUACUCCGGGGAUAACAGGCUGAUACCGCCCAAGAGUUCAUAUCGACGGCGGUGUUUGGCACCUCGAUGUCGGCUCAUCACAUCCUGGGGCUGAAGUAGGUCCCAAGGGUAUGGCUGUUCGCCAUUUAAAGUGGUACGCGAGCUGGGUUUAGAACGUCGUGAGACAGUUCGGUCCCUAUCUGCCGUGGGCGCUGGAGAACUGAGGGGGGCUGCUCCUAGUACGAGAGGACCGGAGUGGACGCAUCACUGGUGUUCGGGUUGUCAUGCCAAUGGCACUGCCCGGUAGCUAAAUGCGGAAGAGAUAAGUGCUGAAAGCAUCUAAGCACGAAACUUGCCCCGAGAUGAGUUCUCCCUGAGACUUAAAGUCUCCUGAAGGAACGUUGAAGACGACGACGUUGAUAGGCCGGGUGUGUAAGCGCAGCGAUGCGUUGAGCUAACCGGUACUAAUGAACCGUGAGGCUUAACCUUACAACGCCG